CUUGUCCUGCAACACUGAUCAAUUAAGGUAAAGCAUUCUAAUACACUUAUCAUCUCAUGCUCAUCUUCACUUAGGUUGUCAUCGCAGCCGAAAUUAUCAAAUAAACAUGCUUCACAAUAAUUAAGUCUCAUUAAAAUACCUUAUUAGAAUUAAAACAAUGUGACAAAAGUCUCCAUUAUAACAUAAUCUCAAACGUCAAGAGUAUAACAUACAACUCUCGAUUAGCAAAAACACAAACUAAAUAAA
This 246-nucleotide long non-coding RNA is filed under the name Lathyrus oleraceus (garden pea). RNAcentral describes it as "Pisum sativum (pea) long non-coding RNA (PSAT_LNC000543)". The record is from RNAcentral. Lineage: Eukaryota; Viridiplantae; Streptophyta; Magnoliopsida; Fabales; Fabaceae.